RNAcentral lists this long non-coding RNA (1133 nucleotides) under Fragaria vesca (wild strawberry). RNAcentral describes it as "long non-coding RNA (FVES_LNC004857)". Lineage: Eukaryota; Viridiplantae; Streptophyta; Magnoliopsida; Rosales; Rosaceae. The record is from RNAcentral.
UCACUUCAAAGUUCCAAAAACCCCUGCAAAUAUGGGGUUUAUUCAGAUAAAAAGUGAUGGUGAUGCUAUAGAGAUGGUGAAUGUAAUACCAAAGAAGAAGAGGCAGAUUUCUUUGUACAUCACAGGUGGAGGGAAAAGGAAGUAUCAUGAAGCUCUAGCUGAUUUUGAUAGGCCUGAUGACCCGGAUUGGGAGAAUCCUUUGAAUAGCCAAACUGCUAGAGAUAAGGAGAGAGCUGCUUUUGAAGCUAAUUUGAUGGCAAGUCAGUUAUAUAGUAGUAAGGAGGGAAUGCCUCCAAGAUUUGAAAAUUUUGAUGUGGUUGUAGAUGCUGUGCCACUACAGGUCAUUUUAGGACCAGCUGUCACAUCCCAGGACCCAUUCUGCCGUAACACGAUAUUGUCCGCUUUGGGCCCACCGGCCCUCACGGUUUUGUUUCCGGCAGCUCAGGAGCAGCUUCCCAGGAGGUCACCCAUCCUGGGAUUGCUCUAGCAUCAACAUGCUUAACCUUGGAGUACCCAUCCCCUCCGAAGCCGCUGAACCACCAAAUGGCCUCGUGUUAGAUUGGAGGUGGGCAUGUACAUAUACAGCACAUAACCCCUCUCCGUUUGGCCGAUGUGGGAUAUUACAAUCCACCCCCCUUGGGAGUCCGACGCCCUCGUCGGCACACUCGCACCACAUGACAGAGUGGCUCUGAUACCAUUUGUCACAUCCCAAGACCCAUUCUGCCGUAACACGAUAUUGUCCGCUUUGGGCCCACCGGCCCUCACGGUUUUGUUUCCGGCAGCUUCCCAGGAGGUCACCCAUCCUGGGAUUGCUCUAGCAUCAACAUGCUUAACCUCGGAGUACCCAUCCCCUCCGAAGCCGCUGAACCACCAAAAGGCCUCGUGUUAGAUUGGAGGUGGGCAUGUACAUAUACAGCACAUAACCCCCUCUCCGUUUGGCCGAUGUGGGAUAUUACACCAGCAAUUGACUUGGAUGAUGUUGUGGACUUAGAUGGGGAUGUGGAUGAUGUAAAUGGGGAUGGUGAGGAGGUAUAUAGGGCUGGUGAGGAUUAAAUGGGACCUGUGAAGGAUGUAAAUAAGGCUGAUGAGGAAGUAAAUGGGCCUGGACCAAGUCAAGGAACCUUUGAGGUUUG